Dendroctonus ponderosae (mountain pine beetle) is the source of this 474-nucleotide long non-coding RNA. RefSeq lists it as uncharacterized. The transcript is spliced from 2 exons. The record is from RefSeq and is a predicted model, not a curated record. Lineage: Eukaryota; Metazoa; Arthropoda; Insecta; Coleoptera; Curculionidae.
CGGCAAUUGUUUUUGAGCAACAUUUAUUGUGUAUGAUUUUUGCGAUGCGCGCGAACUAAAACAAUUGAAGGCAAUUAUAUCGUUAUUAAUAAGAAAGUGAUGGGCGAGUUGAUUGUGCUUCAUUAUGUUUAGUUUUUUUCUGUUGUUUUAAGGGGUAAUGGUCCGUUACAUUGGCCCAUUUUACGUUUGGAGGUUUCCAUUUUAAGUUUACUUGUUUUCGGUAGAAAGUGUAAUAAUAAAAUACAAGUUGCAAUCACAAAGGUCUGCUAUUAACGAUUAGAGAGCCGAACGAUAGAAGACUUCUUAGCCCAAAGCUUCACUUCAAGUCCCCUUUUGCUACCUGGCUGAUCCACCGCUUAGGGUGGAAAAGAGCUAAGAACUAUGCCUCGGCCUUGGAUCAUUUUACGCACAUCCUGCAUCCUCUUUUGCAUACCGCCAAAACUGCAUCUGAAGGACAUUAAACUCUUUAAAAUA